This 147-nucleotide unclassified non-coding RNA is filed under the name uncultured Capnodiales. RNAcentral's name for it is "sequence contains ITS1". The record is from RNAcentral. Lineage: Eukaryota; Fungi; Ascomycota; Dothideomycetes; Capnodiales.
CCGAGCGAGCGCCCUCGGGCACGACCUCCAACCCUUUUGUGAAAUCCAACCUGUUGCCUCGGGGUGACCCGGCCUCGCCCGGCCCCCGAUGGACGAUUUGACCCAACUCUGCAUCUUUGCGUCGGAUAUGAAAAGUCAAUUGAUUUA